CCCUUAGAUGUUCUGGGCCGCACGCGUGCUACACUGAGUGGAUCAGCGGGUCAGGUUGCGCGAAAGCGUUUCCUAAUCUUUAAAUCCGCUCGUGAUGGGGAUUGACGGUUGCAAUUUUCUGUCAUGAACGAGGAAUACCUUGUAAGCGCUGGUCAUCAUCCCGCGCUGAAUACGUCCCUGCCCUUUGUACACACCGCCCGUCGCUCCUACCGAUUGAGUGGUCCGGUGAGGCUUUGGGAUCUGAGCGGAAAGAGCGUUUCGCUGUUUCUGCUCGGAAAACUCAGUCGAACCUUAUCAUUUAGAGGAAGGAGAAGUCGUAACA
RNAcentral lists this ribosomal RNA (322 nucleotides) under uncultured eukaryote. RNAcentral's name for it is "partial 18S ribosomal RNA". It matches the Rfam family "Eukaryotic small subunit ribosomal RNA", at positions 1470 to 1796 of the family's 1831-position model. The record is from RNAcentral.